Megalobrama amblycephala (Wuchang bream) is the source of this 1757-nucleotide long non-coding RNA. RefSeq lists it as uncharacterized. The record is from RefSeq and is a predicted model, not a curated record. Lineage: Eukaryota; Metazoa; Chordata; Actinopteri; Cypriniformes; Xenocyprididae. The transcript has 4 exons.
GGUAUAUGGAGUUAAGCCUGUUCACUGCCUGCCGAUUGAUCACUUGUGUGAAUAAGAGAGAGAGAGAGAGAGAGAGAGAGAGAAAACGCUUGACAGAACAAGUGAUUUUAUAUCAUGGUGAGAAAUACGUCUGCAUGUAGAACGCAGCUCACUACAGAUCAUGCCAGUAAAGGAUGACAAGAGAAAAAGAAAAAAUGAAAAAUAGAGGGCAGUGAAAGGAAGAAGAAAAAUAUGGAAAGUAAAUGGGAUGAUAUGUGUUAGUGCUGAUGUCUCAGGUAAGAUCUUUGUUUUUGUGUGUGUGAGAUGGAUUCAGUCAUGACACCGUGUGCAUCACUCAACCUGAGACUUCAUGAAGUCUGUGAUUCCAGAGUCAGGAACAGAAAACGAUGCAAGAGAAAGAAAAAUCUGAUUUCUGGGAAGUGCAGCAGGUGAUGUGAUUCUGUAACUUCACAAUCAGAAACACUGUCUUACAGCUGAAGACCCAAACUCUGAUGAUCCGAGAGCUCCAGAAAUCACUCCAGAUGACAUACAGAAUAUAUAUAUGUAUAUAAGAAACAUGAAUAUGUAAUGAGACUGUGCGCGCGCGCUGCUGCAGGACUUUAAACUCGUGUUUUUCUCUCUCUCUAGUUUCAGCAGCAGAAGUUCGAGGGGAAACAGUCGCGUUCACGUCAAUGAAGUGGUUUCUCCAGCACAGCUACAGCAAAUGACAUUCCUUUGUGUCUCAAUGAAUGGCAUCUCUGACCUUCCCAUUGAGAAAAAUGCCACAGUAAGCCCCGCCCCGCUGACACGAUAGGUCAGAAUCGAGCGGUGCCGCCCACCCGAGCUCCCGCCUCUCUUUAAAGGGGCCAGACCGGCAACAUGUGACUCGAUUACAGCGUGGGAGUAAAAAGGGGAGAGAAGAACGGAUCAGGACAGGAAUAAGGGGAAGCUGGAGGACAGGAAUGAAGGAAAAGAAGAAAAAGUUGGAGAUAUAAAGGGGCAGGCGAGAGGUUUCCGCUGGACUGGAAUGGUGAGAGGGUGAAAUUCCAGCACUGCUUCCCUGAAAGACACCAACACUUCACACCGGACUCGCUGGGAAGGAGGAGAAAAAACACUUGAGGAGCAACUGAGUCACAUGCAGGUCAUUAGGGAGGAGGAGACGAGAGAGGGACAGCGAGGGACGUCCUCCACCAUCUAACCUCACAGGAGCGUGCGAUUGUGUGACGAAGCAUUUGCUGACGGACGGCACUGAUGACAGAAGCGUCACGCUCACUGACGUCCAGCCCUCGUCCUGCCAAAUCAUGGAAACUUGGUGUGUCAUGUGACAUCAUGGAAACAGGAGAUGCUGCGAGUGGAAAUAGAGCCGUCACACGUCAGUCAUGUGACCAAACGAGAAGGGCGGCAUGACGAGGUCAAGAUGACAAGCUUCCGUCAUCACUGAUAAUUCAACAUUUAGGAAAUAAUCAAGGUCAGUUGUUUAUAGGUGUACGUCAGGGUUCCAGAGCCGCGUGCGCCGUACUCCACGCUGAGUCAGCGCUCCUAAUCGGGAACGCUCCCGUCCUGUUUAACUUUCCACGGUCAGUCCCUGAGGCCGCGGCGUCUGUUUGAACUCAUUUUCCAGGCCACAUCUCACUUCCAGGCUAUUAUACAAUCAGUUGAGAUUAAUGCACCUGUUUUGGUUGCAUUCUCUGCACAGGCAGAUCUCAUGAACUCCACUCGUCUCCUUUCAUUGACAGAUGACAUUUGCAUCAGUGUUGUCCAUUCAAUCACAUCAAUCU